This 603-nucleotide ribosomal RNA is filed under the name Escherichia coli. RNAcentral's name for it is "partial 23S ribosomal RNA". It matches the Rfam family "Bacterial large subunit ribosomal RNA", at positions 1292 to 1880 of the family's 2925-position model. Lineage: Bacteria; Pseudomonadati; Pseudomonadota; Gammaproteobacteria; Enterobacterales; Enterobacteriaceae. The record is from RNAcentral.
GAAUGCUGACAUAAGUAACGAUAAAGCGGGUGAAAAGCCCGCUCGCCGGAAGACCAAGGGUUCCUGUCCAACGUUAAUCGGGGCAGGGUGAGUCGACCCCUAAGGCGAGGCCGAAAGGCGUAGUCGAUGGGAAACAGGUUAAUAUUCCUGUACUUGGUGUUACUGCGAAGGGGGGACGGAGAAGGCUAUGUUGGCCGGGCGACGGUUGUCCCGGUUUAAGCGUGUAGGCUGGUUUUCCAGGCAAAUCCGGAAAAUCAAGGCUGAGGCGUGAUGACGAGGCACUACGGUGCUGAAGCAACAAAUGCCCUGCUUCCAGGAAAAGCCUCUAAGCAUCAGGUAACAUCAAAUCGUACCCCAAACCGACACAGGUGGUCAGGUAGAGAAUACCAAGGCGCUUGAGAGAACUCGGGUGAAGGAACUAGGCAAAAUGGUGCCGUAACUUCGGGAGAAGGCACGCUGAUAUGUAGGUGAAGCGACUUGCUCGUGGAGCUGAAAUCAGUCGAAGAUACCAGCUGGCUGCAACUGUUUAUUAAAAACACAGCACUGUGCAAACACGAAAGUGGACGUAUACGGUGUGACGCCUGCCCGGUGCCGGAAGGUUAA